AGAGUUUGAUCCUGGCUCAGAAUGAACGCUGGCGGCGUGCCUAACACAUGCAAGUCGAACGAGAGCGAAGGAACUUGCUCCUUCAAUCUAGUGGCAGACGGGUGAGUAACGCGUGGGUAAUCUACCUUCGAGUGGGGCAUACCAGGCCGAAAGGCCUGUUAAUUCCGCAUGAAAUGGAUGUCAUCUUGGUGACGACCAUGAAAGCCCGGGAUCUUCGGACCGGGUGCUUGAAGAGGAGCUCGCGUUAGAUUAGCUAGUUGGUGAGGUAAUGGCUCACCAAGGCUGCGAUCUAUAGCCGGCCUGAGAGGGUGAUCGGCCACACUGGAACUGAGACACGGUCCAGACUCCUACGGGAGGCAGCAGUGGGGAAUUUUGCGCAAUGGGGGAAACCCUGACGCAGCAACGCCGCGUGAGUGAAGAAGCAUCUUGGUGUGUAAAGCUCUGUCGAUAGGGACUAAGAAUCGUUGCCUAAUAAGUAACGGAAUUGAAUGUACCUAUAGAGGAAGCCCCGGCUAACUCCGUGCCAGCAGCCGCGGUAAUACGGAGGGGGCAAGCGUUAUUCGGAAUUACUGGGCGUAAAGGGCGCGUAGGCGGCCUGUUAAGUGAGAAGUGAAAGCCCACGGCUUAACCGUGGAACUGCUUCUCAUACUGGCAGGCUA
Molecule: ribosomal RNA, 659 nt
Filed under: uncultured bacterium
Lineage: Bacteria
Description: bacterial SSU rRNA
Rfam family: Bacterial small subunit ribosomal RNA
Source: RNAcentral